Molecule: ribosomal RNA, 1152 nt
Filed under: Microbacterium aurantiacum
Lineage: Bacteria; Bacillati; Actinomycetota; Actinomycetes; Micrococcales; Microbacteriaceae
Description: partial 16S ribosomal RNA
Rfam family: Bacterial small subunit ribosomal RNA
Source: RNAcentral
GGUUUGGGAUGGGCUCGCGGCCUAUCAGCUUGUUGGUGAGGUAAUGGCUCACCAAGGCGUCGACGGGUAGCCGGCCUGAGAGGGUGACCGGCCACACUGGGACUGAGACACGGCCCAGACUCCUACGGGAGGCAGCAGUGGGGAAUAUUGCACAAUGGGCGGAAGCCUGAUGCAGCAACGCCGCGUGAGGGAUGACGGCCUUCGGGUUGUAAACCUCUUUUAGCAGGGAAGAAGCGAAAGUGACGGUACCUGCAGAAAAAGCGCCGGCUAACUACGUGCCAGCAGCCGCGGUAAUACGUAGGGCGCAAGCGUUAUCCGGAAUUAUUGGGCGUAAAGAGCUCGUAGGCGGUUUGUCGCGUCUGCUGUGAAAACCCGAGGCUCAACCUCGGGCCUGCAGUGGGUACGGGCAGACUAGAGUGCGGUAGGGGAGAUUGGAAUUCCUGGUGUAGCGGUGGAAUGCGCAGAUAUCAGGAGGAACACCGAUGGCGAAGGCAGAUCUCUGGGCCGUAACUGACGCUGAGGAGCGAAAGGGUGGGGAGCAAACAGGCUUAGAUACCCUGGUAGUCCACCCCGUAAACGUUGGGAACUAGUUGUGGGGUCCAUUCCACGGAUUCCGUGACGCAGCUAACGCAUUAAGUUCCCCGCCUGGGGAGUACGGCCGCAAGGCUAAAACUCAAAGGAAUUGACGGGGACCCGCACAAGCGGCGGAGCAUGCGGAUUAAUUCGAUGCAACGCGAAGAACCUUACCAAGGCUUGACAUACACGAGAACGCUGCAGAAAUGUAGAACUCUUUGGACACUCGUGAACAGGUGGUGCAUGGUUGUCGUCAGCUCGUGUCGUGAGAUGUUGGGUUAAGUCCCGCAACGAGCGCAACCCUCGUUCUAUGUUGCCAGCACGUAAUGGUGGGAACUCAUGGGAUACUGCCGGGGUCAACUCGGAGGAAGGUGGGGAUGACGUCAAAUCAUCAUGCCCCUUAUGUCUUGGGCUUCACGCAUGCUACAAUGGCCGGUACAAAGGGCUGCAAUACCGCGAGGUGGAGCGAAUCCCAAAAAGCCGGUCCCAGUUCGGAUUGAGGUCUGCAACUCGACCUCAUGAAGUCGGAGUCGCUAGUAAUCGCAGAUCAGCAACGCUGCGGUGAAUACGUUCCCGGGU